This 440-nucleotide ribosomal RNA is filed under the name uncultured bacterium. RNAcentral describes it as "partial 16S ribosomal RNA". It matches the Rfam family "Bacterial small subunit ribosomal RNA", at positions 338 to 795 of the family's 1533-position model. The record is from RNAcentral.
CCUACGUGCGGCUGCAGUGGGGGAUAUUGCACAAUGGGGGAAACCCUGAUGCAGCGACGCCGCGUGUGGGAAGACGGUCCUCUGGAUUGUAAACCACUGUCCCCAGGGACGAAGAUGACGGUACCUGGGGAGGAAGCUCCGGCUAACUACGUGACAGCAGCCGCGGUCAUACGUAGGGAGCGCGCGUUGUCCGGAAUUACUGGGUGUAAAGGGAGCGUAGGCGGGACUGCAAGUUGGGUGUCAAAUCUACCGGCUCAACCGGUAGCCGCACUCAAAACUGCAGUUCUUGAGUGAAGUAGAGGCAGGCGGAAUUCCUAGUGUAGCGGUGAAAUGCGUAGAUAUUAGGAGGAACACCAGUGGCGAAGGCGGCCUGCUGGGCUUUUACUGACGCUGAGGCUCGAAAGUGUGGGGAGCAAACAGGAUUAGAUACCCUGGUAGUC